This 274-nucleotide ribosomal RNA is filed under the name uncultured bacterium. RNAcentral describes it as "partial 16S ribosomal RNA". It matches the Rfam family "Bacterial small subunit ribosomal RNA", at positions 523 to 796 of the family's 1533-position model. The record is from RNAcentral.
CUACGGAGGGUGCAAGCGUUAAUCGGAAUUACUGGGCGUAAAGCGUACGUAGGCGGUCCGUUAAGUUAGAUGUGAAAGCCCCGGGCUCAACCUGGGAACUGCAUUUAAAACUGGCAAACUCGAGUUUAGGAGAGGGAAGUGGAAUUUCAGGUGUAGCAGUGAAAUGCGUAGAGAUCUGAAGGAACACCAGUGGCGAAGGCGACUUCCUGGACUAAAACUGACGCUGAGGAACGAAAGCGUGGGUAGCAAACGGGAUUAGAAACCCCGGUAGUCC